AUACGGAGGAUCCGAGCGUUAUCCGGAUUUAUUGGGUUUAAAGGGUGCGCAGGCGGGAGAUUAAGUCGGCGGUGAAAUUUUGCAGCUCAACUGUAAAAGUGCCUUCGAAACUGGUUUCCUUGAGUGUAGAUGAAGUAGGCGGAAUUUGUGGUGUAGCGGUGAAAUGCAUAGAUAUCACGAGGAACUCCGAUUGCGCGGCAGCUUACUAAACUACUACUGACGCUCAGGCACGAAGGCGUGGGGAUCAAACAGGAUUAGAUACCCUGGUAGUCCACGCAGUAAACGAUGAUUACUAGCUGUUUGCGAUACAAUGUAAGCGGCUGAGCGAAAGCGUUAAGUAAUCCACCUGGGGAGUACGUUCGCAAGAAUGAAACUUAAAGGAAUUGACGGGG
RNAcentral lists this ribosomal RNA (392 nucleotides) under uncultured bacterium. RNAcentral's name for it is "partial 16S ribosomal RNA". It matches the Rfam family "Bacterial small subunit ribosomal RNA", at positions 523 to 918 of the family's 1533-position model. The record is from RNAcentral.